GGGUUGUGAGGUUAAGCGACUAAGCGUACACGGUGGAUGCCCUGGCAGUCAGAGGCGAUGAAGGACGUGCUAAUCUGCGAUAAGCGUCGGUAAGGUGAUAUGAACCGUUAUAACCGGCGAUUUCCGAAUGGGGAAACCCAGUGUGUUUCGACACACUAUCAUUAACUGAAUCCAUAGGUUAAUGAGGCGAACCGGGGGAACUGAAACAUCUAAGUACCCCGAGGAAAAGAAAUCAACCGAGAUUCCCCCAGUAGCGGCGAGCGAACGGGGAGCAGCCCAGAGCCUGAAUCAGUGUGUGUGUUAGUGGAAGCGUCUGGAAAGGCGCGCGAUACAGGGUGACAGCCCCGUACACAAAAAUGCACAUGCUGUGAGCUCGAUGAGUAGGGCGGGACACGUGGUAUCCUGUCUGAAUAUGGGGGGACCAUCCUCCAAGGCUAAAUACUCCUGACUGACCGAUAGUGAACCAGUACCGUGAGGGAAAGGCGAAAAGAACCCCGGCGAGGGGAGUGAAAAAGAACCUGAAACCGUGUACGUACAAGCAGUGGGAGCACGCUUAGGCGUGUGACUGCGUACCUUUUGUAUAAUGGGUCAGCGACUUAUAUUCUGUAGCAAGGUUAACCGAAUAGGGGAGCCGAAGGGAAACCGAGUCUUAACUGGGCGUUAAGUUGCAGGGUAUAGACCCGAAACCCGGUGAUCUAGCCAUGGGCAGGUUGAAGGUUGGGUAACACUAACUGGAGGACCGAACCGACUAAUGUUGAAAAAUUAGCGGAUGACUUGUGGCUGGGGGUGAAAGGCCAAUCAAACCGGGAGAUAGCUGGUUCUCCCCGAAAGCUAUUUAGGUAGCGCCUCGUGAAUUCAUCUCCGGGGGUAGAGCACUGUUUCGGCAAGGGGGUCAUCCCGACUUACCAACCCGAUGCAAACUGCGAAUACCGGAGAAUGUUAUCACGGGAGACACACGGCGGGUGCUAACGUCCGUCGUGAAGAGGGAAACAACCCAGACCGCCAGCUAAGGUCCCAAAGUCAUGGUUAAGUGGGAAACGAUGUGGGAAGGCCCAGACAGCCAGGAUGUUGGCUUAGAAGCAGCCAUCAUUUAAAGAAAGCGUAAUAGCUCACUGGUCGAGUCGGCCUGCGCGGAAGAUGUAACGGGGCUAAACCANNNNNNNNNNNNNNNNNNNNNNNNNNNNNNNNNNNNNNNNNNNNNNNNNNNNNNNNNNNNNNNNNNNNNNNNNNNNNNNNNNNNNNNUAAGCCUGCGAAGGUGUGCUGUGAGGCAUGCUGGAGGUAUCAGAAGUGCGAAUGCUGACAUAAGUAACGAUAAAGCGGGUGAAAAGCCCGCUCGCCGGAAGACCAAGGGUUCCUGUCCAACGUUAAUCGGGGCAGGGUGAGUCGACCCCUAAGGCGAGGCCGAAAGGCGUAGUCGAUGGGAAACAGGUUAAUAUUCCUGUACUUGGUGUUACUGCGAAGGGGGGACGGAGAAGGCUAUGUUGGCCGGGCGACGGUUGUCCCGGUUUAAGCGUGUAGGCUGGUUUUCCAGGCAAAUCCGGAAAAUCAAGGCUGAGGCGUGAUGACGAGGCACUACGGUGCUGAAGCAACAAAUGCCCUGCUUCCAGGAAAAGCCUCUAAGCAUCAGGUAACAUCAAAUCGUACCCCAAACCGACACAGGUGGUCAGGUAGAGAAUACCAAGGCGCUUGAGAGAACUCGGGUGAAGGAACUAGGCAAAAUGGUGCCGUAACUUCGGGAGAAGGCACGCUGAUAUGUAGGUGAAGUCCCUUGCGGAUGGAGCUGAAAUCAGUCGAAGAUACCAGCUGGCUGCAACUGUUUAUUAAAAACACAGCACUGUGCAAACACGAAAGUGGACGUAUACGGUGUGACGCCUGCCCGGUGCCGGAAGGUUAAUUGAUGGGGUCAGCGCAAGCGAAGCUCUUGAUCGAAGCCCCGGUAAACGGCGGCCGUAACUAUAACGGUCCUAAGGUAGCGAAAUUCCUUGUCGGGUAAGUUCCGACCUGCACGAAUGGCGUAAUGAUGGCCAGGCUGUCUCCACCCGAGACUCAGUGAAAUUGAACUCGCUGUGAAGAUGCAGUGUACCCGCGGCAAGACGGAAAGACCCCGUGAACCUUUACUAUAGCUUGACACUGAACAUUGAGCCUUGAUGUGUAGGAUAGGUGGGAGGCUUGGAAGUGUGGACGCCAGUCUGCAUGGAGCCGACCUUGAAAUACCACCCUUUAAUGUUUGAUGUUCUAACGUUGACCCGUAAUCCGGGUUGCGGACAGUGUCUGGUGGGUAGUUUGACUGGGGCGGUCUCCUCCUAAAGAGUAACGGAGGAGCACGAAGGUUGGCUAAUCCUGGUCGGACAUCAGGAGGUUAGUGCAAUGGCAUAAGCCAGCUUGACUGCGAGCGUGACGGCGCGAGCAGGUGCGAAAGCAGGUCAUAGUGAUCCGGUGGUUCUGAAUGGAAGGGCCAUCGCUCAACGGAUAAAAGGUACUCCGGGGAUAACAGGCUGAUACCGCCCAAGAGUUCAUAUCGACGGCGGUGUUUGGCACCUCGAUGUCGGCUCAUCACAUCCUGGGGCUGAAGUAGGUCCCAAGGGUAUGGCUGUUCGCCAUUUAAAGUGGUACGCGAGCUGGGUUUAGAACGUCGUGAGACAGUUCGGUCCCUAUCUGCCGUGGGCGCUGGAGAACUGAGGGGGGCUGCUCCUAGUACGAGAGGACCGGAGUGGACGCAUCACUGGUGUUCGGGUUGUCAUGCCAAUGGCACUGCCCGGUAGCUAAAUGCGGAAGAGAUAAGUGCUGAAAGCAUCUAAGCACGAAACUUGCCCCGAGAUGAGUUCUCCCUGACCCUUUAAGGGUCCUGAAGGAACGUUGAAGACGACGACGUUGAUAGGCCGGGUGUGUAAGCGCAGCGAUGCGUUGAGCUAACCGGUACUAAUGAACCGUGAGGCUUAACCUUACAACGCCGAAG
Molecule: ribosomal RNA, 2957 nt
Filed under: Escherichia coli
Lineage: Bacteria; Pseudomonadati; Pseudomonadota; Gammaproteobacteria; Enterobacterales; Enterobacteriaceae
Description: partial 23S ribosomal RNA
Rfam family: Bacterial large subunit ribosomal RNA
Source: RNAcentral